CAGUAGCCACGGUAAUACGUAGGUGGCAAGCGUUGUCCGGAUUUACUGGGCGUAAAGCGCACGUAGGCGGAAAUUUAAGUCAGGGGUGAAAUCCCGAGGCUCAACCUCGGAACUGCCUUUGAUACUGGGUUUCUUGAGUCCGGAAGAGGUGAGUGGAACUGCGAGUGUAGAGGUGAAAUUCGUAGAUAUUCGCAAGAACACCAGUGGCGAAGGCGGCUCACUGGUCCGGAACUGACGCUGAGGUGCGAAAGCGUGGGGAGCAAACAGGAUUAGAUACCCCCGUAGUCCCUGUCUCUUAUAC
Molecule: ribosomal RNA, 301 nt
Filed under: uncultured bacterium
Lineage: Bacteria
Description: partial 16S ribosomal RNA
Rfam family: Bacterial small subunit ribosomal RNA
Source: RNAcentral